RNAcentral lists this ribosomal RNA (825 nucleotides) under Pseudopotamis semoni. RNAcentral's name for it is "partial 16S ribosomal RNA". It matches the Rfam family "Bacterial large subunit ribosomal RNA", at positions 1418 to 2564 of the family's 2925-position model. Lineage: Eukaryota; Metazoa; Mollusca; Gastropoda; Pachychilidae. The record is from RNAcentral.
CUAAAUUAAUAAUAGAAGGUUUGUUAAUUUGUUUUAUAUCUUAAUUUAUUGAGGAUAAGCUCAAUAAAAAUAAUAAGUAGUAUUCUGUAUUGUUAGCUACGUGGGCUUGAAGUUAGCCAUUGCGUUAAAACUUGUUAUAAAGUAGCUUUUUUACUUAUAAAGAUUAAUGUACUUUCAUUUUAUAGGGAUAAUAGGAGGAACUGCAUUCUAAUUUGUUUAUGCUAGGAUGAGUAUUAUACGGACAAAUAUGUAAGUAGAGGAUAAAGGUACAUAUAAAUAGAUUCUUUAAAAAAUAAAAAUGAGGAAAAGGAACUCGGCAAAUAUUUGCUUCGCCUGUUUAUCAAAAACAUGGCUCUUUGUCAGUUGAGUAUAAAGAGUCAGGCCUGCCCAGUGAAAUAUUUUUAACGGCCGCGGUACUCUGACCGUGCAAAGGUAGCAUAAUCAUUUGCCUUAUAAUUGGAGGCUUGUAUGAAUGGUUUGACGGAGCAUAGCUGUCUCUUCCUUAUUUUAUAGAAUUUGACUUUUAGGUGAAGAGGCCUAAAUAUAAUUGAAAGACAAAAAGACCCUGUCGAGCUUAAGAAAGAGUUAGAUAUAUUUUUAUUGUACAAAAUCAGUUACUAGUAAUUGUUUUUUAGUUGGGGCGACUAAGGAACAAAUGAAGCUUCCUUUCUUUACUUUUUGCUGAUGAGCUUGGAUCCAGAUAAAACUGAUUGAAAGAAUUAGUUACCGCAGGGAUAACAGCAUAAUCUCUCUUGAGAGACCUAAUCGAAAGAGAGGGUUGUGACCUCGAUGUUGGACUAGAAUAUCCUGAAGAUGCAGAAGUCU